CCCUUAGAUGUUCUGGGCCGCACGCGCGCUACACUGAUGCAUUCAACGAGUUACCUUGGCCGAGAGGCCUGGGCAAUCUUUUGAACGUGCAUCGUGAUAGGGAUAGAUUAUUGCAAUUAUUAAUCUUGAACGAGGAAUUCCUAGUAAACGCAGUUCAUCAAACUGCAUUGAUUACGUCCCUGCCCUUUGUACACACCGCCCGUCGCGCCUACCGAUUGGAUGGUCCGGUGAAGCCUCGGGAUUGUGGCCAGUGCCUUUUUGGUUUUGGUUGCGAGAACUUGUCUAAACCUUAUCAUCUAGAGGAAGGUGAAGUCGUAACA
This 320-nucleotide ribosomal RNA is filed under the name uncultured eukaryote. Its description in RNAcentral is "partial 18S ribosomal RNA". It matches the Rfam family "Eukaryotic small subunit ribosomal RNA", at positions 1470 to 1796 of the family's 1831-position model. The record is from RNAcentral.